CUCUUUUCUUCUCCGCUGAUGCUGCCAGACCUGCUGAGUUUUUCCAGGAUAUUUGAACAGGAAGAUUUGCUGACAGGAAACUCAAACCAAAAACCACGUCAAAUUCUGACAGAUUCACUCAAUACAUCAGGAGCUGGAUAUCAUUGAACAUUUAAUAUGGACGGAGAAAUGUUUUAAUCAAUUGCGCAGCCUGAAAAAGCAUCUCACCAUUCAUAGUGUGAAUAAACUGUGUGUGGAUGAGGUUUGAUCUGACCAUCCAACAUGGACAGCCACGAGGACACUGGCACCAUGGAGAAAUCGUGGGGACUGUGGGAAGGGAUUUGGUUCCCCAUCAAAGCUGGAAAUUCAUCAACGCAGUCACACUGGGGAAAGGCCGUUCUCCUGCUCCGUGUGUGGGAAGGGAUUUACUAAUUCAUCCAACCUUCUGAGACAUCAGCGCGUUCACGUUGAGCAGAGUUCAGUCAUCUGCUCCGUGUGUGGGAAAGCAAUCAGUCAUUCAUCAAACUUUCAGAGACACCAGCAAACUCACAGUGGAGAGAGGCCAUUCACCUGCUCUGUGUGUGGGAAGAGAUUUACUCAGUCAUCCUACCUGCUGACACACCAGCAAAUUCACACGAGGGGAGUCCAUUCACCUGUUCCUUGUGUGGGGAGGGAUUUAAUCGAUUGCCUAGGCUUCUGAAACACCAGCGCAUUCACACUGGGGAAAGUCCAUACACCUGCUUUAUCUGUGGGAAGGGAUUUAAUCGGCCAUCCAAAUUACUUACACACCAGCGAAUUCACACUGGGGAGAGGCCAUUCACCUGCUCCAUGUGUGGGAAGGGAUUCACUAAUUCAUCCGACCUGCUAACACCAGCAAGUUCAUACUGGUGAGAGGCCAUUCACAUGUUCCAUGUGUGGAAAGAGAUUCACUCGGUCAUCCCACCUUCUGACACAUCAACUUGUUCAUACUGAUCAGAGACCCUUUGAAUGUUCAUACUGUGAGAAGACCUUUAAAAGUAAAAAGGAUCUGCUGACACACCAGCGAGUUCACACUGGGGAGAGGCCAUUCACCUGCUCCGUGUGUGGGAAGGGAUUCACUCAGUCAGGUUCCUGGCUGACACACCAACGAAUUCACAAGUGACUGUAGAGGUUGGAUUCUGCAUUUUUUGCUGCUGCUAAUCAUGUUCAGGAUUGAAUUCUUUCAUUCUGACAUUUGGGUCUGUUUCUGCAGAUUUUAAUGGACUGCUGUUUAAUAUUUUGGAUAAAUGUCGAAUAGAAUGUCAAGCUUUGUUUUAAACACAUUAUUGUAGAUUUUUGUCUUUCCCACCUGAGUGUUUAACAUCACCUGGCUGGGGCUCAGAAAGGACAAUCUGGGGGAGGAUCUUACGGAUGGAACAGAACUUCAGCCUGGACACAGUCCUUCAGGGUCACACUGAGGGGGACAAACAGCACUUUGGUCUUUCUCAUCUUUCUUCACUGACAACAAAACCCACAUGUGGAUUAAUCCUGAGGUGUGUAAGAAAUGUGCCACAGCCACUUCUGUGCAGUACGUACAGUCUAAAGAUGACCAAUGUCAGGCUACGUGGAGUCCAAGUCCAUAUAGAAAAGUGGAUGGAAAAAUACAAACUCGCUGCAAAUCUAACCCUCUGAUUUCUGGUUUGUAACCAUUUUGGUUCAAAGCUCCUAGGCACAACUGUGGUUGUUCAGCCUGAGUCAGGCAGACUGGAAACAUGCUGUUAAAUCAGAGAUUGAUGUAAAACUUGCUGUUAAAUCAGAGAUUGAUGUAAAACUGUGCUCUGUUCCUGACUGAAACUUAAACACCAGGAUUACGUU
Long non-coding RNA from Carcharodon carcharias (great white shark), 1812 nucleotides. RefSeq lists it as uncharacterized. The record is from RefSeq and is a predicted model, not a curated record. Lineage: Eukaryota; Metazoa; Chordata; Chondrichthyes; Lamniformes; Lamnidae. The transcript has 2 exons.